AUUGAUUAUUUAAAUUCAUUCACGUAUUUGAAUUAUAUAUAAACUAAAUAAUUUAAUUAUUCCAUAAUUUUUUUUUUAUAAUAAAGAGUGAAAGGGAGUAUAUAUAGAUUGAUAGAUAAAGAUACAUAUACCACUAGAUCUAACGAAAAAAAUAAAAUAAGGUGAAACUCUACACAAUGGCUUUUCGUUUCAAUCACCUUUCUCUUUUCUGUAUUUUAAGCAUUGUUAUGGUUUUUCUUUCGGCAGCAUCUGUGAAUUGUCAAAAUCCUCCGGGACAUACAUGCAUAGAUAGAUGCGAAGAUGCAGGAAGCACUCCAUUUUGCAAUAAAACUUGCAUAGAUAAGGGUUACAAAUCCGGUGGCAAAUGUGUUUAUAACACUCCAAAUGAUGCGUAUUGUUGUUGUGUCAAUAAUUAAGAAUGGGUUACUGUAAAAUUAUAAUCAUUAAAAUAAUAAAUAAACACCUCUCCCUUUUUUAUUA
This is a long non-coding RNA of Lathyrus oleraceus (garden pea), 480 nucleotides long. RefSeq lists it as uncharacterized. Lineage: Eukaryota; Viridiplantae; Streptophyta; Magnoliopsida; Fabales; Fabaceae. The transcript is spliced from 2 exons. The record is from RefSeq and is a predicted model, not a curated record.